UGCCUAAUACAUGCAAGUCGAGCGGAAAUUUUAUUGGUGCUUGCACCUUUAAAAUUUUAGCGGCGGACGGGUGAGUAACACGUGGGUAACCUACCUUAUAGAUUGGGAUAACUCCGGGAAACCGGGGCUAAUACCGAAUAAUACUUUUUAACACAUGUUUGAAAGUUGAAAGACGGUUUCGGCUGUCACUAUAAGAUGGACCCGCGGCGCAUUAGCUAGUUGGUGAGGUAACGGCUCACCAAGGCAACGAUGCGUAGCCGACCUGAGAGGGUGAUCGGCCACACUGGGACUGAGACACGGCCCANACUCCUACGGGAGGCAGCAGUAGGGAAUCUUCCACAAUGGACGAAAGUCUGAUGGAGCANCGCCGCGUGAGUGAAGAAGGAUUUCGGUUCGUAAAACUCUGUUGCAAGGGAAGAACAAGUAGCGUANUAACUGGCGCUACCUUGACGGUACCUUGUUAGAAAGCCACGGCUAACUACGUGCCAGCAGCCGCGGUAAUACGUAGGUGGCAAGCGUUGUCCGGAAUUAUUGGGCGUAAAGCGCGCGCAGGUGGUUCCUUAAGUCUGAUGUGAAAGCCCCCGGCUCAACCGGGGAGGGUCAUUGGAAACUGGGGAACUUGAGUGCAGAAGAGGAUAGUGGAAUUCCAAGUGUANCGGUGAAAUGCGUAGAGAUUUGGAGGAACACCAGUGGCGAAGGCGACUGUCUGGUCUGUAACUGACACUGAGGCGCGAAAGCGUGGGGAGCAAACAGGAUUAGAUACCCUGGUAGUCCACGCCGUAAACGAUGAGUGCUAAGUGUUGGGGGGUUUCCGCCCCUCAGUGCUGCAGCUAACGCAU
This 839-nucleotide ribosomal RNA is filed under the name Solibacillus sp. DP_sed_233. Its description in RNAcentral is "bacterial SSU rRNA". It matches the Rfam family "Bacterial small subunit ribosomal RNA", at positions 45 to 860 of the family's 1533-position model. The record is from RNAcentral. Lineage: Bacteria; Bacillati; Bacillota; Bacilli; Caryophanales; Caryophanaceae.